UACGUAGGUGGCAAGCGUUGUCCGGAUUUAUUGGGUUUAAAGGGUGCGUAGGCGGCUUUGUAAGUCAGUGGUGAAAUAUGGCAGCUCAACUGUCAGGGUGCCAUUGAUACUGCGGAGCUUGAGUACAGAUGAGGUAGGCGGAAUUGACGGUGUAGCGGUGAAAUGCUUAGAUAUCGUCAAGAACACCGAUAGCGAAGGCAGCUUACUAGGCUGUAACUGACGCUGAGGCACGAAAGCGUGGGGAGCAAACAGG
Molecule: ribosomal RNA, 253 nt
Filed under: uncultured bacterium
Lineage: Bacteria
Description: partial 16S ribosomal RNA
Rfam family: Bacterial small subunit ribosomal RNA
Source: RNAcentral